This 274-nucleotide long non-coding RNA is filed under the name Brassica napus (rape). Its description in RNAcentral is "long non-coding RNA (BNAP_LNC021212)". The record is from RNAcentral. Lineage: Eukaryota; Viridiplantae; Streptophyta; Magnoliopsida; Brassicales; Brassicaceae.
GGGAUGAGUUUCAAAUUUCAAAAAAUUAAAAAUUAAAAUUUUUAAAACAAAAAGAGGCUAUUUUGGUCAUUUUAUUUUUUGAGUGCUAUUUUGUGAUAAAAACUUUAAAAUGGCUAAUUGAGAGAAUUGCCCAAGUGAAAAUGAGAAUGAGAAUUGAAUCAAGAGAAGAAAUUAGAAUUUUAUCACAUCAGCUUUAUUGGAGGACAUGGUAAAGCUUGUAAGUAUCAACCAUGGAAAAUUAGUUUCAAAAUGCAUAGAAAGAGAGAGAAGAAAC